CAAGGACUACAGGGGUUGGUGCAGCCGUCUUGGGAGGUGGCCGAUGUAGAGGCAGGUUAUCAUAAUCUUUGGCCUUGCGAGAGCCUAAUUCGAAGAAUGGGUUUUAUUUGCUUCAUCUAAUUUGAUUUGUUUUAUUUUAUGUCAAAAGCAAUAUAGAUGUUAAGAUGUUUGUAAAGAGAAUGAAAGAAAGUUUCCUGCUAAAGAGAAGAGGUGGCUGCACCGGGGAAAACAGUUCGGCGGUGUGCCAAACAAGAGAAAUAGCUAAUGAAAGGGGAUAUGAUAAACAAUAAAAGAAGUGGAGAGGAGAUGAGGGGGAGCAACAACUACCAUUAAUGGCACUAAAUCAUGUACCUAGGCAGUGCAGAUAUGUGAACAAAUCUAUAGAUUCUAUGUUGACGUUGUUGGCUUCUUGCAAGUCAAGUAUCCUUAUGCCCUUGAUUUUGACGAUGCUUGGUAAUACUAUUAUCUAUAUUUAUAUGUUUUAUUCAUCAAUUAACGCUAGGAAUUUAAGUUUCAUAGAAACUCAUUUCGUGGUUAUUCAAUAUAAGUCCAUAGUAGGUUAUAUAAUCAAGUUAUUGGGAUUCUUCAUGUACAAGAGACGCUUGGGCGAUUGUUAAUGGCUGGAAAUACAUGUGAGAGAAAAGACCAGCAAUUGAGCUACAUCAUUAUGCACGUGAAUGGGUAUGGGACCUGUACUUUAUAUACAUGAAAAACUUUUAUUUUUCAAUAACACUAUAUAACUUCACUUGGCACUGAACAAAGGAUAAUUAAUAGUCAGUGUCGCACUCUUAAAGACUUCGGCAUUUUUCCUUUCUUUUUUGAUGACACUAUAUAACUAUACUUGGCACUGAACGAAGGAUAGCCAGUGUGGCACAUUUUAAGACUUCAGCAUUUUCUAUAGUUUGUAGAGAAUCUUUACGUUUUCAUAUAUUUAGUAUUCUGAAUAUAAUUUUGAUGAAAGAUGAAAGACCAUUGUAGGUUGAAAUAUAAUUAGCAUAAAAGAAUAGUAAUUUUAAUUGGUGGAUGAAAGUCGUAUCUGGGGAUCAGUGACCAUGAUACAUUGAAUAUUUGAUUGUUUCGUAUCUCCGUCUGAUGGUUGUUCAUGCUAAAGGAGGUGUAUUUUUCUGCUAGCUUUGGCAAGUUGGUCAGUCAGUUUCAGAGUUGUCUAUGUGUCAGCAAAAGCCUAACAAUCACAUUAUAGGGGUGAACUAUGCUCAUCGGGUUCGUUUUUAGCCGUUAUUUAUUGGAGACGAGGCUGCAUGAUUCAUAUUAUGCUAACAAUAUGUUGUAUUUAUAUUUGUACACUCAAGGUAUUCAAUUUAUUUGCUCAACUGACUUUCUGAAGCCUAUGUUGUUAUCAUCUUACUCUCAUGUGAACGAUGCAUGUGCAGGUGUCGUAAAACAUUACUCUCAUGUAAAUUUUUGAUUAGCAGGGUUGAUUUUCGUGUUUGUGUUUCUUACAAUGGUAAUGGGUGUUUCAGAUUUGUUGGUUUUGAAGAUUGUGUUAGGUUGAAUUGUUCUUUUGUCAAAUUGUGUACAAUCCGGUCAAGUGCUGGCUUUGGUGCUCCCUUGCCACCACAUGCAGACAAUGGUCUUCAACUUCAUUUUCAGUGUGCCUCUCAUAAAUUGGUAUAUGAAGAUAAGACUGAAAUGGUCCUUUUCAUUUAAUUGUAUUUUUUCUCGACUAUUUUUCUUUUGAAGAUGAAAUUGAAUGGUAAUGAACUGAAGGAUGAAGUUCAGAACCUCA
Molecule: long non-coding RNA, 1747 nt
Organism: Papaver somniferum (opium poppy)
Lineage: Eukaryota; Viridiplantae; Streptophyta; Magnoliopsida; Ranunculales; Papaveraceae
Exons: 3
Source: RefSeq, a predicted model, not a curated record